Molecule: ribosomal RNA, 253 nt
Filed under: uncultured bacterium
Lineage: Bacteria
Description: partial 16S ribosomal RNA
Rfam family: Bacterial small subunit ribosomal RNA
Source: RNAcentral
UACGGAGGAUCCGAGCGUUAUCCGGAUUUAUUGGGUUUAAAGGGUGCGUAGGCGGCCAGUUAAGUCAGGGGUGAAAUACGGUGGCUCAACCAUCGCAGUGCCUUUGAUACUGACGGGCUUGAAUCCAUUUGAAGUGGGCGGAAUAAGACAAGUAGCGGUGAAAUGCAUAGAUAUGUCUUAGAACUCCGAUUGCGAAGGCAGCUCACUAAGCUGGUAUUGACGCUGAUGCACGAAAGCGUGGGGAUCGAACAGG